UGGGAUAACAGAUUCAUUGUUGCACUACGG
This 30-nucleotide non-coding RNA is filed under the name Rattus norvegicus (Norway rat). Lineage: Eukaryota; Metazoa; Chordata; Mammalia; Rodentia; Muridae. The record is from RNAcentral.